This 253-nucleotide ribosomal RNA is filed under the name uncultured bacterium. RNAcentral describes it as "partial 16S ribosomal RNA". It matches the Rfam family "Bacterial small subunit ribosomal RNA", at positions 524 to 776 of the family's 1533-position model. The record is from RNAcentral.
UACGUAGGGUGCGAGCGUUGUCCGGAAUUACUGGGCGUAAAGAGCUCGUAGGUGGUUUGUCGCGUUGUUCGUGAAAACUCACAACUCAAUUGUGGGCGUGCGGGCGAUACGGGCAGGCUGGAGUACUGCAGGGGAGACUGGAAUUCCUGGUGUAGCGGUGGAAUGCGCAGAUAUCAGGAGGAACACCGGUGGCGAAGGCGGGUCUCUGGGCAGUAACUGACGCUGAGGAGCGAAAGCGUGGGGAGCGAACAGG